Molecule: ribosomal RNA, 253 nt
Filed under: uncultured bacterium
Lineage: Bacteria
Description: partial 16S ribosomal RNA
Rfam family: Bacterial small subunit ribosomal RNA
Source: RNAcentral
UACGGAGGGGGCAAGCGUUGUUCGGAAUCAUUGGGCGUAAAGGGUAUGUAGGCGGCCGAGUAAGUCAAGCGUGUAAGCCCGUGGCUCAACCACGGAAUUGCGUUUGAAACUACUUAGCUUGAGUACAGGAGAGGAAAGCGGAAUUCCCAGUGUAGCGGUGAAAUGCAUUGAUAUUGGGAAGAACAUCUGUGGCGAAGGCGGCUUUCUGGUCUGUAACUGACGCUGAAAUACGAAAGCCAGGGGAGCGAACGGG